Gallus gallus (chicken) is the source of this 1550-nucleotide long non-coding RNA. Lineage: Eukaryota; Metazoa; Chordata; Aves; Galliformes; Phasianidae. The record is from Ensembl.
GCUUUCUGCAUGCUGUACAACUGGAGGUCAGUCACAUUCACGUGUCUGGGUGAAAGCUGGAGACUGUAAUUACAGCUUACCUGCAUUGGAAAUAAGAGUCUGCCCAGACUAGAAUGGAUUUGUAUAUUUUAAAUUGAGAGAGGGUCUAACUUAAAAUAUUUUGGGGCAAAAUGUAUUUCAGGGAAUAAUGAAGAGUCCACCUACCACUGCAGCAGACAUCAAAACAAGAGCAGAGCACAGCUGACAAUGCAGGAUCCAGAGAGUGGAAACUGUAAGCAACCCAGGAGUAUCAGUUUGCUCAACCAUGAGUAAACAAAUGCACAGUCCUGGCAAAUGAACCUGUGCAGUCUGUGGGAUAGAGGAGUACAGAUCAUGAAUACAUCACAAAGCUGACUGGACCCUAGACCAUCUUAUCCACUGCACUGGGGCUGUUGCCAGUGAUUGAACAUCCUUUGGAACAACCACAAUUUCAACUGUAAUCUCUUCCUUGUAGCUUGCAACACUCCUCCUACACACAAGAUUAAAAUUCCCUGCUGCAGCAUUUGUUAGCUUCUCUCGUUCUGUUCAGUGUGAUGGCCCAGAAAGCUGUGGUAUUAAAUCAAACCGGUGUUUAGAAAGAUAAAGAGCUGUAUCCAGCAUUCAGAAGAAGCUCUGUGAGUUUGCACAUUUGAGCUAUGUGCCACAGUCAUGCCUGAGUUUGGAAGGAAUAUGACCACAUCAAGGAAAGUACUCCAAACUGGAUUUGACUAAAACUCAAAAGAUGGACUAAUCUGAAUACCACAGAACUGAACAGUGGAUAAUGUUGCGGGUACAAAUGGCAGUCUCACCACUGAGAAGAAAACAAGCUGUAUAUCAUUAGGGGUUUAUCUGUUGUAUCCCCUGCCAUGAUUUUUGUGGGGCUGGUCCUACACAGAUUUUAAUUCUUGCUGUGGUUUUUGUUACAUAGUCAGUUCAUGUUAUGAUGAAGACAGAAAGAAGGGAAAGAUGCCUGUGAUAUCUCAAGGACAUUUUCAUCAAAGAUGCCCAGAGUCAGUCUAGUUCAAAGAGCUAAGAAGGACAGCCAGUGAUUCUGCUUACUGAACUGAUGAAUCCCAACAGUUUCUUAUCAGCCAUCUGACCUGCUUUCUUCUCUGGCAACACACUAAUUCAUAUAAAAUCUGUAUAUGGUGCAAAGUGUCGUGUUUCAUUAUCUGGGUAAGUCCCGGGAUGGGCAGAGUGCAGCAGCAUACAGUGCUGGGGAGGGGGGAUGUGGGGGCAGCCUUCACUGCUAAUGCAGAGCUGAGAACAAGCAGCUUUGACUUGGCUGAGUCUAUCUGCCAAACUAGUGACUUCUGCUGGGAAACAGAACUUUCCCCCUCUUUCUUUAGAUCCCAGCUGAGCUUCAAUGCUCUGUGUUUCUCUCUAACAGGAAAGCUGUCUUCUCUCCUCCUCUGCCAUCUGUGCUCCAUCCUUAUUCUCACAUGUGACUUACUGUAGCUGCAGUCUCAUUAACUUUCAAUACUUGCAGCCUAACACGACUUAACUGGGGGGCUUGAAAGGAGAGGUAGGGC